Molecule: ribosomal RNA, 476 nt
Filed under: Pseudomonas aeruginosa
Lineage: Bacteria; Pseudomonadati; Pseudomonadota; Gammaproteobacteria; Pseudomonadales; Pseudomonadaceae
Description: bacterial SSU rRNA
Rfam family: Bacterial small subunit ribosomal RNA
Source: RNAcentral
AUUGAACGCUGGCGGCAGGCCUAACACAUGCAAGUCGAGCGGAUGAAGGGAGCUUGCUCCUGGAUUCAGCGGCGGACGGGUGAGUAAUGCCUAGGAAUCUGCCUGGUAGUGGGGGAUAACGUCCGGAAACGGGCGCUAAUACCGCAUACGUCCUGAGGGAGAAAGUGGGGGAUCUUCGGACCUCACGCUAUCAGAUGAGCCUAGGUCGGAUUAGCUAGUUGGUGGGGUAAAGGCCUACCAAGGCGACGAUCCGUAACUGGUCUGAGAGGAUGAUCAGUCACACUGGAACUGAGACACGGUCCAGACUCCUACGGGAGGCAGCAGUGGGGAAUAUUGGACAAUGGGCGAAAGCCUGAUCCAGCCAUGCCGCGUGUGUGAAGAAGGUCUUCGGAUUGUAAAGCACUUUAAGUUGGGAGGAAGGGCAGUAAGUUAAUACCUUGCUGUUUUGACGUUACCAACGAAUAAGCACGGCAAUU